RNAcentral lists this unclassified non-coding RNA (1195 nucleotides) under Hevea brasiliensis (rubber tree). The record is from RNAcentral. Lineage: Eukaryota; Viridiplantae; Streptophyta; Magnoliopsida; Malpighiales; Euphorbiaceae.
AAAAAUUGGAGGCAAAGCAUAGGUUCUGCCGAGAGCUUUCCCUUUGGUUUUCCGUAGAGCAGAGACGCUCCAAAAUCACCUACAAAACUUGGCCUUCGAGACUCUUACACAUCCUUUCUCAAUCAGACAUUCAACCACCACCUAGGAACUACCCACCUACGCAUCUAAAGCCUGUCCCUCACUUCUCUUGCAAAAAUUUCUAACGGUGAGUUUUUCCGUAAUACUGAUUAUUUUUUUUUUUUAACUUGAUAUCCUGUUGUUCAACGAAAUAGCUAGGUCGUUUAAUUGGGUUAAGUUGUUUGAUUUCCAAUUUCUGUUUACUUGUCCAUGGUUGUUAUUUUUCAAGAGCAAAUUAUUAGCAUCAGGAUUGACGAUUGUAUUUAUGGGUUUUCUUAAUGUUCUUUUUAAUUUCAUUAUUUUUUUAGCUCCCCGUUUCUGGAAUAUCUUAAGGUUUCCUUGAAAUUUGAAAAUGAAAAUUGGAGGUUGUUAUGAACGUACGAAUGAAUGUUGUUGAAAUGCUUUUUAUGCUAUUGAGUGCUGUUGGUCAUGGCCCGUGCCCUCUGUCCUACCACCUCAAAAUAUCUCAGGAUAUUGAGUCCUGGGAAACCAUCUACACCAGGAUCGAUUUUUCAAUGACUGUAAGGAGAGGAGCAGAGUUUCAACUCGAAACUAUCUGAAAAGCCCAGAGCAGGAGCUAUUACGACUCAAACAGGUUGCUUGCUCCCUAUAUUGAAAGGGAAAGCACCCUUACCUAGCCCUAGGCCAGGGAAUCAUAAACCAACUCUGCUUUAACUUGAUUUAGAAUGAAUUGCCUAUUUCUAAACUUGUUGGUAGUCUUCAUUCUUUACUUCUGGUUGUAACAUUUAUUGGUAAAAGGUUGAUGAAUGGUUUUUGUUCUUUUAGUAAAUAUCAAACCUUAAUUAUUUUGAAUCCAAAAGUAGUUUAGGUAGAAAUUUAAGUUUGAGUCAACAUGCUUCAUUGACGUUGAAAGACCUUGUUUUUCAAGGGUGGUUGCCUCUUGAUCUUGAACCAGUGAUCGUUAGAGAUAUAUGGAGGCACUCAGAUCAAUCUUCCUUCUGAUUUUAACAUAUAAGUCUAUGCAUUUUAUUUUAAGAUAUGCACGGCAUCAAUGCUAUAAUUAUUUUGGAAUCACUUUUAUUAUUCUUUGUGUUUCAUAUGGAAUGAUUGGCAGACA